Molecule: ribosomal RNA, 730 nt
Filed under: Bacillus sp. SP41
Lineage: Bacteria; Bacillati; Bacillota; Bacilli; Caryophanales; Bacillaceae
Description: bacterial SSU rRNA
Rfam family: Bacterial small subunit ribosomal RNA
Source: RNAcentral
GUGCCUAAUACAUGCAAGUCGAGCGGACUGAUGGGAGCUUGCUCCCUGAAGUCAGCGGCGGACGGGUGAGUAACACGUGGGUAACCUGCCUGUAAGACUGGGAUAACUCCGGGAAACCGGGGCUAAUACCGGAUAGUUCUUUUCCUCGCAUGAGGAAAAGUGGAAAGGCGGCUUCGGCUGCCACUUACAGAUGGACCCGCGGCGCAUUAGCUAGUUGGUGAGGUAACGGCUCACCAAGGCAACGAUGCGUAGCCGACCUGAGAGGGUGAUCGGCCACACUGGGACUGAGACACGGCCCAGACUCCUACGGGAGGCAGCAGUAGGGAAUCUUCCGCAAUGGACGAAAGUCUGACGGAGCAACGCCGCGUGAGUGAUGAAGGUUUUCGGAUCGUAAAGCUCUGUUGUUAGGGAAGAACAAGUGCCGUUCGAAUAGGGCGGCACCUUGACGGUACCUAACCAGAAAGCCACGGCUAACUACGUGCCAGCAGCCGCGGUAAUACGUAGGUGGCAAGCGUUGUCCGGAAUUAUUGGGCGUAAAGCGCGCGCAGGCGGUCUCUUAAGUCUGAUGUGAAAGCCCACGGCUCAACCGUGGAGGGUCAUUGGAAACUGGGGGACUUGAGUACAGAAGAGGAAAGUGGAAUUCCACGUGUAGCGGUGAAAUGCGUAGAUAUGUGGAGGAACACCAGUGGCGAAGCGACUUUCUGGUCUGUACUGACGCUGAGCGCGAAGC